This 301-nucleotide ribosomal RNA is filed under the name uncultured bacterium. Its description in RNAcentral is "partial 16S ribosomal RNA". It matches the Rfam family "Bacterial small subunit ribosomal RNA", at positions 509 to 807 of the family's 1533-position model. The record is from RNAcentral.
CAGCAGCCGCGGGAAUACGUAGGGUGCAAGCGUUGUCCGGAAUUAUUGGGCGUAAAGAGCGUGUAGGCGGCUCGACAAGUCCGCUGUGAAAGUCCAGGGCUCAACCCUGGAAUGCCGGUGGAUACUGUCGAGCUAGAGUCCGGAAGGGGCGAGUGGAACUCCUGGUGUAGCGGUGAAAUGCGCAGAUAUCAGGAAGAACACCAAUGGCGAAGGCAGCUCGCUGGGACGUGACUGACGCUGAGACGCGAAAGCGUGGGGAGCGAACAGGAUUAGAUACCCCCGUAGUCCCUGUCUCUUAUAC